GGAUCACUUAUUGAGUUACAAGGA
RNAcentral lists this non-coding RNA (24 nucleotides) under Arabidopsis thaliana (thale cress). The record is from RNAcentral. Lineage: Eukaryota; Viridiplantae; Streptophyta; Magnoliopsida; Brassicales; Brassicaceae.